Molecule: long non-coding RNA, 768 nt
Filed under: Brassica napus (rape)
Lineage: Eukaryota; Viridiplantae; Streptophyta; Magnoliopsida; Brassicales; Brassicaceae
Description: long non-coding RNA (BNAP_LNC000828)
Source: RNAcentral
AGAGCAUUCUCGUUGAUUCACCAAAACAUUUACUAUUAUUUUUUCUAUUGAUUUAUAUUUUGAAUUUUAAAUUGUAAAAUCAAAAGCACUUUCUCAAUUGAGUUGCUAAAUCCCUAACCCCAUUAUGUCUCGUUCCCAAAGACGACGAUUCAAUGUUUGAACCCAAUUGAUCAUGUGAACACUCAGAACAAAAUCCAAACAAAAUCAAAUCUGUCUAAACUUUCCCAAUUAUGUUCAUUCUCCACCGUUUAAUUCUUUGUCCCUUUCGUCGGACUCCAUCAAAACCAAAACCUUUAAUCAUCUUCUUUGUCUAAAGCACUUCGUUUCUCGCCAGCUCGUGCUCCGUAAGAUUACAGUUCUUCGCAUCACAGUCGCUCAUCUAUCGCCGACGGGAUGAGCUCAGACCAGAUUGAAGUUCUUAAUCUUGCCAUAAGGUAUGGUUUCAUAAGUCAAGGCUUUAAUCUAUAGGAUUUGAUAUUUCCGUCUUUAAUUCCUCUAUGGAUGGUUGGCAGUGUGGUCGUGAGAUUUUUUGUCUAUAUGAUUUGAGAUCUGAGUCUUUUAAAUCCAUGUGUGUUUCAUUCUUGAAGUAUAAUUAGUGAUUUGGACAAAAUGUACAUGUGUGUUCCAUUAUAUAGGUGAAGCUGCAGUGGUUUGAGCUUGGUAUCACCAUGGAUGAAAGCUUGAUCAGAUCUGCAAUAAGAAUGAUGAAUUUACAUAUUUGGUCCUUAUAUUUAUGUAAGUAUUUGUUUUCACCCUUAAUUUUUAAAU